RNAcentral lists this small nuclear RNA (23 nucleotides) under Arabidopsis thaliana (thale cress). Its description in RNAcentral is "snRNA_12851". Lineage: Eukaryota; Viridiplantae; Streptophyta; Magnoliopsida; Brassicales; Brassicaceae. The record is from RNAcentral.
UUUGGCCAAAGCCCAUAAUCCUU